RNAcentral lists this ribosomal RNA (460 nucleotides) under uncultured bacterium. RNAcentral describes it as "partial 16S ribosomal RNA". It matches the Rfam family "Bacterial small subunit ribosomal RNA", at positions 338 to 795 of the family's 1533-position model. The record is from RNAcentral.
CCUACGGGGGGCAGCAGUGAGGAAUAUUGCUCAAUGGACGAGAGUCUGAACCAGCCAAGUAGCGUGAAGGAUGACGGCCCUACGGGUUGUAAACUUCUUUUGUCAGGGAGCAAUUGAGUCCACGUGUGGGCGUAGCGAGAGUACCUGAAGGAAAAGCAUCGGCUAACUCCGUGCCAGCAGCCGCGGUAAUACGGAGGAUGCGAGCGUUAUCGGGAUUUAUUGGGUUGAAAGGGUGCGUAGGCGGAAUAUCAAGUCAGCGGUAACAAUUCGGGGCUCAACCCCGUCGUGCCGUUGAAACUGGUGUUAUUGAGUGGGAGAGAAGUAUGCGGAAUGCGUGGUGUAGCGGUGAAAUGCAUAGAUAUCACGCAGAACUCCGAUUGCGAAGGCAGCAUACCGGCGCCAAACUGACGCUGAAGCACGAAAGCGUGGGUAUCGAACAGGAUUAGAUACCCUAGUAGUC